Molecule: long non-coding RNA, 1751 nt
Organism: Clupea harengus (Atlantic herring)
Lineage: Eukaryota; Metazoa; Chordata; Actinopteri; Clupeiformes; Clupeidae
Source: Ensembl
CAUUUUGACGGUAACAUUAACAUUUUGAUUUUAACGUUAACGUUGAAUGAAUGAAUGAAUACAGAAAUAAAUGAAUGAAUAAAUAAAUGAAUGAAUGACUGAAUAAAUAAAUGAAUGAAUACAGAAAUAAAUGAAUGAAUACAGAAAUAAAUGAAUUAAUGAAUAAAUAAAUGAAUACAGAAAUAAAUACGUACAUAAAUGUAAAUUAUACGUAACUAUUGAUUGACAAUUGUGCAUUAAUUAAUACAUGUAUUCAUUUAUUUCUGUCUAAAUGCAUGGAUGUGGACAUUUAUUUAUUCAUUCAUUCAUUUAUAAAUAUGGCAGGUCCUUCCCUUUCUAUGACCAAAUUAUUAUGCAUAGGCCUAACUAAUACUCAUACUAAUGCAUUAGAGUUAAAACAAAGCCACAAAAUCAAGCAAAAUCGAAAAUUUUCUAUUUUACAAAGCUACCUACAAAGCAUAGACUACUUUCACAAUGUUGCUUUAAAGACUUUUUUAAAGUCUCUAUCUUUUCUGGUUAUUUGCAGAUGAUGUACCGCUUGUUUUCCGCCUUGGGUGUUCUAUUCGGAAUGGCCUCAGCGGACGGCUCUUAUGGCUUAGGGCCGGAGCCAAAGAGGAUAUGUCCUGGGAUGCCAUUCACUUUUACACUGACAUAUAGGAUAAGCGGAGCAGACCUGAUGUUCUACAAGAACGGGGUCGAGAGGAAGGUUGCCACUACCAAGGAGAUUAUAGACCCCCAGUUUCGGCUCAAUGGCAGUGAACCUUAUUUACCCGAGGUCAUGAAAACGCAUGAAGGGAAGUAUUAUUGGAAGGCUCCAUCGGUCGAUUUUGAACUGAAUUACAUCAGACUAAUUCUGAAAGGUGAGUAUGUUGUGAAAUGUCAUCUCUGAAAGGGUAUCAAUGUUUUGUACAUUGAGAUAUUUUACAUACUUAGCUUUGCUCCCUUUGUACUCUCUACCUCUGUCUAUCUAUCUAUCUAUCUGUCUAUCUAUCUGUCUAUCUGUCUAUCUUUCUGUCUGUCUGUCUGUCUAUCUAUCUAUCUAUCUAUGCAUAUAUAUAUUUAUUAGACUGCAGUGUUCGUCAAAAUGUGGUGUACGGUGAGGAGUUGGCCUUAAAUGUGCCGGCGGACGCGUCUGUGUUGGAGUUCACCCCUCACCUCUCAGACCAACACUCCGUCCUGUGGAGACGGAUACACAGAGGGGGGGACGAGGAAGCAAGGGGCGCGGUUAAGGACGGCCGCUGGACAGCACAGAGGAUGACCCAAGCGGAUCAGGGGCGCUACACUUUACUCAGGGAGAGUGGUGGCCAGAUCUCCAGCACUGUGGUCUCUGUUGAAGGUAAGAGCAAUGAAGCGCGUGCUGAGAAUAUGGGACAGAUGAUUGCCAGAAUAGUAAAAGAAGACAAGGUGUUGCCAUAUUUCUCUGUAAGUAAGUAACUUCUACUUCUGGUUUAUAUAGGUUGAGAUAACUUUCAAAAAAGAUUCACAAGGUGAACUGAUUUGUGAAUAUCACAAAUAAUAUGAUUCAAAUAUCUCCCAUCCUUCAUUUGUGCAAUCACUUGUCUUCAUUGAUUAGAGGAAAACUAUGCCACAUAUAUUAUAUGCCGUUUGACAUGUUUAAUGAGAUACAGGAAUUGCUUUGCUUUGAAGAGUACAUUUUAGCACCCCCCUUUUUCAAGCAUGUUCACCUCAAUUUCACAUUUGUUUAUGAUUUCCUACACUUCCCAGAAUGCAUUUCAACCACUACUAGCUAA